This 501-nucleotide ribosomal RNA is filed under the name Goniurosaurus sp. ZQHe-2021b. RNAcentral's name for it is "partial large subunit ribosomal RNA". It matches the Rfam family "Bacterial large subunit ribosomal RNA", at positions 1918 to 2589 of the family's 2925-position model. The record is from RNAcentral. Lineage: Eukaryota; Metazoa; Chordata; Lepidosauria; Squamata; Eublepharidae.
ACUAAUUAAACGGCCGCGGUAUCCUAACCGUGCAAAGGUAGCAUAAUCACUUGUCUCUUAAUUAGAGACUAGUAUGAACGGCUAAAUGAGGGCCUAACUGUCUCCCGUGAGUAAUCAAUGAAACUGAUCUUCCAAUACAAAAGCUGGAAUACACCCAUAAGACGAGAAGACCCUAUGGAGCUUUUAAACCUACUUGCUAAACAAAAACUAAUAGUCAUCUUGACUACUUAAACCACACAUAAUAGCAACAAGCUUCAGUUGGGGCAACUUUGGAAAAAAAAAGAACUUCCAAGCAACAGAACUACAAGUUCAACUUAGACCAACACGUCUACGUAAUAAUUUACUGACCCAGUCAUACUGAUCAACGAACUAAGUUACCCUAGGGAUAACAGCGCAAUCCUCUUUAAGAGUCCCUAUCGCCAAGAGGGUUUACGACCUCGAUGUUGGAUCAGGACACCCAAGUGGUGCAGCCGCUACUAAAGGUUCGUUUGUUCAACGAUU